Molecule: ribosomal RNA, 442 nt
Filed under: uncultured bacterium
Lineage: Bacteria
Description: partial 16S ribosomal RNA
Rfam family: Bacterial small subunit ribosomal RNA
Source: RNAcentral
CCUACGGGUGGCAGCAGUGGGGAAUAUUGGACAAUGGGGGGAACCCUGAUCCAGCGACGCCGCGUGAGUGAAGAAGUAUUUCGGUAUGUAAAGCUCUAUCAGCAGGGAAGAAAGAAAUGACGGUACCUGACUAAGAAGCCCCGGCUAACUACGUGCCAGCAGCCGCGGUAAUAAGUAGGGGGCAAGCGUUAUCCGGAUUUAAUGGGUGUAAAGGGAGCGUAGACGGUUACGCAAGUCGGGAGUGAAAGGCGGGGGCCCAACCCCCGGACUGCUGUGGAAACUGUAUAACUGGGGUGCAGGAGAGGUAGGUGAAUUCCUAGUGUAGCGGUGAAAUGCGUAGAUAUUAGGAGGAACACCAGUGGCGAAGGCGGCUUACUGGACUGUAACUGACGUUGAGGCUCGAAAGCGUGGGGAGCAAACAGGAUUAGAUACCCCAGUAGUC